GGAGUCGGCCGGGCAGUCGCGUCGCGCGCAAGCGCAUCGAGGAAAGUCCGGGCUCCACAGGGCAGAGUGCCAGGUAACUCCUGGGCAGCGUGAGCUGACGGCCAGUGCAACAGAGAGCAGACCGCCGAUGGCCUCGCAAGAGGAUCAGGCAAGGGUGAAAGGGUGCGGCAAGAGCGCACCGCACUCGGAGCAAGACCAAAUAGGGGAACGAUAACGCGGCCCGCGUUGUUCCCGGGUAGGUUGCUGGAGCCAGGCGGCGACGCCUGGCCGAGAGGAAUGACUGUCGCGCCGCAAGGCGUACAGAACCCGGCUUACAGGCCGACUCCACCU
This 330-nucleotide RNase P RNA is filed under the name Rhodanobacter sp. RNAcentral's name for it is "RNase P RNA component class A". It matches the Rfam family "Bacterial RNase P class A". From Rfam's summary of the family: Ribonuclease P (RNase P) is a ubiquitous endoribonuclease, found in archaea, bacteria and eukarya as well as chloroplasts and mitochondria. Its best characterised activity is the generation of mature 5'-ends of tRNAs by cleaving the 5'-leader elements of precursor-tRNAs. Cellular RNase Ps are ribonucleoproteins. Lineage: Bacteria; Pseudomonadati; Pseudomonadota; Gammaproteobacteria; Lysobacterales; Rhodanobacteraceae. The record is from RNAcentral.